GACGAACGCUGGCGGCGUGCUUAACACAUGCAAGUCGAACGGAAAGGCCCUGCUUUUGUGGGGUGCUCGAGUGGCGAACGGGUGAGUAACACGUGAGUAACCUGCCCUUGACUUUGGGAUAACUUCAGGAAACUGGGGCUAAUACCGGAUAGGAGCUCCUGCUGCAUGGGGGGAUUGGAAAGUUUCGGCGGUUGGGGAUGGACUCGCGGCUUAUCAGCUUGUUGGUGGGGUAGUGGCUUACCAAGGCUUUGACGGGUAGCCGGCCUGAGAGGGUGACCUGCCACAUUGGGACUGAGAUACGGCCCAGACUCCUACGGGAGGCAGCAGUGGGGAAUAUUGCACAAUGGGCGGAAGCCUGAUGCAGCAACGCCGCGUGCGGGAUGACGGCCUUCGGGUUGUAAACCGCUUUCGCCUGUGACGAAGCGUGAGUGACGGUAAUGGGUAAAGAAGCACCGGCUAACUACGUG
Molecule: ribosomal RNA, 467 nt
Filed under: uncultured bacterium
Lineage: Bacteria
Description: partial 16S ribosomal RNA
Rfam family: Bacterial small subunit ribosomal RNA
Source: RNAcentral